RNAcentral lists this ribosomal RNA (413 nucleotides) under Peripatopsis capensis. RNAcentral describes it as "SSU rRNA". It matches the Rfam family "Eukaryotic small subunit ribosomal RNA", at positions 991 to 1403 of the family's 1831-position model. The record is from RNAcentral. Lineage: Eukaryota; Metazoa; Onychophora; Udeonychophora; Euonychophora; Peripatopsidae.
CAGAGGUUCGAAGGCGAUCAGAUACCGCCCUAGUUCUGACCGUAAACGAUGCCACCUGACGAACAGCCAGGGUUACUACCAUGACUCGGCGGGCAGUCCCCGGGAAACCCAAGCCUUCGGGUUCCGGGGGAAGUAUGGUUGCAAAGCUGAAACUUAAAGGAAUUGACGGAAGGGCACCACCAGGAGUGGAGCCUGCGGCUUAAUUUGACUCAACACGGGGAACCUCACCCGGCCCGGACACCGCGAGGAUUGACAGAUUGAGAGCUCUUUCUCGAUUCGGUGGGUGGUGGUGCAUGGCCGUUCUUAGUUGGUGGAGCGAUUUGUCUGGUUAAUUCCGAUAACGAACGAGACUCUAGCCGGUUAAGUAGCCCGAGCGGUUUUUGAUCUUUGCCGUUCAUCCCCGUUCGACCUUU